UGUGUAGGCGGUUGCGCAAGUCUGGUGUGAAAUCUUCACCGCUCAACGGGAAGAGGUCACUGGAAACUGCGUAACUCGAGUAUGGUAGAGGCAAGCGGAAUUCCUGGUGUAGCGGUGGAAUGUGUAGAUAUCAGGAAGAACAUCUGUGGCGAAGGCGGCUUGCUGGGCCAUCACUGACGCUGAGACACGAAAGCGUGGGGAGCGAACGGGAUUAGAUACCCCGGUAGUCCACGCCAUAAACGGUGCGCACUAGGUGUGGGGGGUAUCGACCCCCCCUGUGCCGAAGUUAACACAUUAAGUGCGCCGCCUGGGGAGUACGGCCGCAAGGUUGAA
RNAcentral lists this ribosomal RNA (333 nucleotides) under uncultured bacterium. Its description in RNAcentral is "bacterial SSU rRNA". It matches the Rfam family "Bacterial small subunit ribosomal RNA", at positions 568 to 898 of the family's 1533-position model. The record is from RNAcentral.